GAGAAAGUGUUCAGUGUGGAGAGGGUCAAUUAACAACAUGGCCAUGGAAUGGGUUUCCCUGCUGUCCCUCUUUUCUCCCUCUCUCUCAGUAUAUGACCACUGAGUAUAUGAUAUGAGUCAGUGGUGCUGACGAUAGUGGGACACUGACUGUGUCUCAGAGUCCUCUCCUCCCCUGCCAGACUGAGUUUCCCAGGCUACAUGACAGGCAGCACCUCUUUUAUUCACACAAGGAGCCCAGGAGGCCGGCCUGGUCGGGGCUGGUAGAGGGGGCAGGGCUAUGGUAUGGUAAUGUGCUCAGAGGAAGUGAGCGCAGGGUAGUGGAAUGCUGCUGAGAUUAGUAGUACUGACUGACUGCCUGGGAGUUCAGCUGGCUGAUCAAGACUGUCAGGACAGUGCUAACCAUUAGCUGCUGAAUGCCUAUCCGGAGAUACUGAGGAUUAUUAGCAUCAGGGCCUACCCAGCGGAUGAAAACAUGCCCCAUUUCACAGUGGUACCGGUGGAGGACAGCGCUACGUCCAACUAUGACAGCCUGGAAGGAAUUAACUGGGUGGACUACAGAGACACAGGACAGGGGGGACACCCUGGACAUCUAGACACUGUCAGCUCUGAUGGCCAUGGAAAUCACAAGGAGGAUAGUCCUUUCCUCAGCAGUGCAGAUGCUGACAGGAAGACUGAUUUCUAUGACAGGAACCUGGCCUUGUUUGAGGAGGAGUUGGACAUCCGUCCCAAGGUGUCGUCCCUCCUCAGCCGGCUGGUCAACUACACCAACAUUACCCAGGGGGCCAGGGAGCACGAGGAGGCCGAGAACACAGAGAUGUCACUCAGGAAGGUCCCAAAGUCCCCCAACAUGGGUACCCUGAUGGGAGUCUACCUGCCCUGUCUACAGAACAUCUUUGGUGUCAUCCUGUUCCUUCGUCUAACGUGGAUCGUGGGCACAGCCGGCAUCAUCCAGUCAUUCCUCAUCGUCCUCAUGUGCUGCUCAUGUACAAUGCUCACUGCCAUGUCCAUGAGUGCCAUAGCUACAAAUGGUGUUGUCCCAGCCGGAGGGGCGUACUUCAUGAUCUCUCGUUCCCUGGGUGCUGAGUUUGGGGGGGCUGUAGGAAUCUGUUUCUACCUGGGAACAACCUUCGCUGCUGCCAUGUACAUACUGGGAGCUAUAGAGAUCUUCCUGAAAUACCUGGUUCCCCAGGCGGCCAUCUUCCACGCCAGCGACCACCAUGGGGGCGACAGUGCCAUCCUCAACAACAUGAGGGUGUACGGCACCAUCUGUCUCAGCCUCAUGGCCGUGGUGGUCUUUGUGGGGGUGAAAUACGUCAACAAACUGGCCUCUCUCUUCCUGGCCUGUGUCAUCAUCUCUAUCGUCUCCAUCUACGCCGGGGCCAUUAAGUCUGUUUUCCAACCACCUGACUUUUCGAUCUGUAUGUUGGGUAACAGGACACUGGUGAGAGAUCAGUUUGACGUGUGUAGUAAGACGGUUCUAGAGGGCAAUGUGACUGUACCUAGUCAGCUGUGGAGGAACUUCUGUAGCUCUGGCAACAUGAGUAGUCCUCAAUGUGACGACUACUUCAACCAGAACAACGUUACAGAGAUACAGGGAAUACCAGGACUGGCCAGCGGCAUCAUCAGAGAUAACAUGUGGGGAGACUACCUGGAGAAGGGUCAGAUCUUGGAGAAGGCAGGUCUGCCCUCAGUAGACGUCCACGGGGCUGUGGAGAGCGUCGGCCUGUACGUCUCAGCUGACAUCGCUACCUCCUUCACCCUCCUGGUGGGAAUCUUCUUUCCCUCCGCCACAGGUAUCAUGGCAGGCUCCAACAGAUCAGGAGAUCUGAAAGAUGCUCAGAAGUCCAUCCCUAUUGGAACCAUCUUGGCUAUAACCACUACUACCCUUGUCUAUUUCAGCUCUGUGGUUCUGUUUGGGGCCUGUAUUGAAGGAGCGGUCCUAAGGGACAAGUUUGGGGAUGCAGUCAGUAAGAACCUGGUUGUGGGGACUCUGUCCUGGCCCUCCCCCUGGGUCAUCGUGAUUGGCUCCUUCUUCUCCACUGUGGGGGCGGGACUACAGUCCCUGACUGGCGCCCCUCGUCUCCUACAGGCCAUCGCCAAGGACAACAUCAUCCCCUUCCUCAGGGUGUUUGGUCAUGGCAAGGCCAAUGGGGAGCCAACCUGGGCACUGUUACUGACAGGACUCAUUGCUGAGCUGGGCAUCCUCAUAGCCUCUCUGGACAUGGUGGCCCCCAUCCUCUCCAUGUUCUUCUUGAUGUGCUAUCUGUUUGUGAACUUAGCCUGUGCUGUGCAGACUUUACUACGGACACCAAACUGGAGGCCUAGGUUUAAAUAUUACCACUGGGCUCUGUCUUUUCUGGGUAUGAGUAUGUGUCUGGCUCUGAUGUUCAUCUCCUCCUGGUAUUAUGCCAUCGUGGCCAUGUGCAUAGCUGGCAUGAUCUACAAGUACAUUGAGUACCAGGGUGCGGAGAAGGAGUGGGGAGAUGGGAUACGAGGUUUGUCCCUCAGUGCUGCGCGCUACUCUCUGCUACGGCUGGAGCAUGGACCACCUCACACUAAAAACUGGAGGCCCCAGGUCCUGGUGCUAUUGAAGCUGGAUGAGGACCUCCAUGUGAAGUAUCCCCGUCUGUUGACCUUUGUCUCCCAGCUGAAGGCAGGGAAGGGCCUGACCAUAGUGGGCUCUGUCAUCCAGGGACAGUUCCUGGACAGCUACGGAGAAACACAGGCCUCUGAACAGGCCGUAAAGAACAUGAUGGAGAUCGAGCGGGUGAAGGGUUUCUGCCAGGUGGUUGUGGCGUCCAAGGUGAGGGAGGGCAUUGCCCACCUGAUCCAGUCAUGUGGCCUGGGGGGCAUGAAGCACAACACAGUGGUGAUGGGAUGGCCCUACGGCUGGAGGCAAAGUGAAGACCCCCGCGCAUGGAAGACAUUCAUUCACACAGUCCGCUGUACCACAGCAGCCCACCUGGCUCUGAUGGUGCCCAAGAAUGUUUCCUUCUACCCCAGCAACCACGAACGCUUCACAGACGGCACCAUCGAUGUGUGGUGGAUCGUCCAUGACGGAGGAAUGCUCAUGCUGCUACCUUUCCUGCUCAAACAGCACAAGGUUUGGAGGAAGUGUAAGAUGCGUAUCUUCACUGUGGCCCAGAUGGAUGACAACAGUAUUCAGAUGAAGAAGGACCUGGCUACGUUCCUGUACCAGCUGAGAAUAGAGGCAGAGGUGGAGGUGGUGGAAAUGCAUGACAGCGACAUCUCGGCCUACACGUAUGAGAGGACUCUGAUGAUGGAGCAGAGAUCUCAGAUGCUUAGACAGAUGAGGCUGUCCAGCGCAGAGAGAGAAAGAGAGGCCCAGCUGGUAAAGGACAGACACUCUCUGAUCCGUAUGGGCAGCCUGUACUCAGACGAGGAGGAGGAGGUGGUGGAGCCUGUAGCUGAUAAGAACCAGAUGACCUGGACCAAGGAGAAGUACGAGGCAGAGAGGAGGAACAGGAACAACGCACCAGAGAACUUCAGAGAACUCAUGAGCCUCAAACCGUGAGUCAAUUGUUGUUGGUCUAUUGGAAGGCCAGGAGUUUUUCUUGAGACGUGAUCUGACGAGGAAAACCCACAGGCCUUUCACGUGGUUAGGAAAAUCUCCAUCCGGUCCCAUCUGAGGGACCAGUCCAAUGUGCGGCGGAUGCACACAGCAGUGAAGCUGAACGAGGUGAUUGUCAACAAGUCCCAUGAUGCUCGCCUGGUGCUGCUCAACAUGCCGGGGCCGCCACGCAACACAGACGGAGAUGAGAACUAUAUGGAGUUUCUGGAGGUGCUGACGGAAGGUCUGGAGAGAGUGCUGCUGGUGAGAGGAGGAGGACGAGAGGUCAUCACUAUCUACUCCUGACCUAUCAGAAACCACUCGGGUCACAGGUCACGACACUGCCUCGACAGGAGACAUUCCACCCCGAUCACCGGGGACACUGCAGCACCGGCAGCAGCAUCCAGCCGAUCCUCAACAUACAGUACAUACCAACUGCGCCAAUUAAUGAUGGAAUUAAGAGGACUUUUAUUGUGGUAUUUGAGGACCACAGAAAGCAAUAAUAAUUUGCCUGGCAUUUCUACGGAAAGUAUUGCCUUCCAUGAGGACAGUAGCCUUUAAAGAUUACAUGCUAUAAUUCCCUCAUGAAUCCCUUAUUGCCAAGGCAACUAAAGCUUGGGUCAUUCACAAACCUAUUUCUGCAAUAGGAGACCAUUAACAACUGCUACUUUUACACAUACAUCCAUCAAACAUGAAUUUUCUAUGUCGACUGAGUCAGUAUUUUUGUGUUGUUUGCAGAAAAUAAAAUAUGGUGGGCUUUCCCUCAUCAAGGAUUAGCUUGCCAGAUAGCACAGUCUUGGGUGGUCCUUAUGAAGGCAUCUGUGUAGAGUGCCAAUGUUAGUUAUUUUUUCACAACCUUUUUAUGGUUGGUGGAAUAAGAACUUUUGUUAUUUAUUUUCUUAUUUAUUUUCUCAACCUUCCCCCGAUGAGGAUAAGAUUUUUCGUAUUGUAGAUAAUGAAAUGCCAGUUGGGGUAUUUAAACAGAUGGCACAGAGAGUGCUUGUAAAUGUAAAUGUGGAUUCCAGAGAUUGUUUUGAAGCAUUAUUUUACUGGAUUAUUAUUUGUAAUUGUUGAAAGAGAAGAGGUUUUAAUUAAUUGACAAUUAUACAUUACAUUUAAUCUGCUAUUUCUGUACAAAAUAGAUUAUUAUAGGCAUGAAGACGACUUACAGGGCCACCUGAACAGAGUAGCAUAUGCACACAUUUCCUUUUCUUUCCUGUAGACUGCAAGAGCUGUAAAGACGAAGAGUAUUUAUCUGAAUUUACCAAUAAAAUCAUGAUUCAUUUCCCUAUUCAACCAGAA
Oncorhynchus mykiss (rainbow trout) is the source of this 4873-nucleotide RNA transcript. It is a transcript of the gene named solute carrier family 12 member 4, with no coding region annotated. The record is from RefSeq and is a predicted model, not a curated record. NCBI's taxonomy places the organism in Eukaryota, Metazoa, Chordata, Actinopteri, Salmoniformes, Salmonidae.